This 419-nucleotide ribosomal RNA is filed under the name uncultured bacterium. Its description in RNAcentral is "bacterial SSU rRNA". It matches the Rfam family "Bacterial small subunit ribosomal RNA", at positions 29 to 483 of the family's 1533-position model. The record is from RNAcentral.
AACGAACGCUGGCGGCAUGCCUAACACAUGCAAGUCGAACGGGAUCCAGGCUUCGGCCUGGUGAGAGUGGCGGACGGGUGAGUAACGCGUGGGAACCUGCCCAAUGGUCUGGGAUAACCGCGGGAAACUGCGGCUAAUACCGGAUAAGCCCGAGAGGGGAAAGAUUUAUCGCCGAUGGAGGGGCCCGCGUCAGAUUAGGUAGUUGGUGGGGUAAUGGCCUACCAAGCCUACGAUCUGUAGCNGGUCUGAGAGGAUGAUCAGCCACACUGGGACUGAGAUACGGCCCAGACUCCUACGGGAGGCAGCAGUGGGGAAUAUUGGACAAUGGGGGCAACCCUGAUCCAGCAAUGCCGCGUGAGUGAUGAAGGCCUUAGGGUUGUAAAGCUCUUUUGCCAGGGACGAUGAUGACGGUACCUGGA